UAUAUUUACAUAACCAUUGACUACAAGAAAUGAGCAAUGAAUAGUAUACAAUCCAUCAAUAGGAGCAGUAAAUAAUCCUUCUGUGACUGAGUAUCCAUUUCCAAAAUUAGUUGUUAUGUUGUCGAAUAUAAUUAUCUCGCCGUUUUGAGGAGCAUUUUCGGAAAGCGUUGCAAAGAAAGCUAUCGCUUGUUCCACGUCUAAUUCGAUGUUUGAAAUAUUUUGGAGCAUAUUUUUUACUCUAGAACUCAGUUGUGCUAACAUAAAUUGCAUUAACAUCACUUAAUAUUUCCUUGUAUCUUCGUAACACUCCCGUCUGUAUAUCAGUCGUAGUUUUGGAAACGUAAUCCCGCAUUUUACUUACAAAUUGAAUGAUAUCGUGUUCGGUCUCAUUCAUUAAUUUAGUUUGUCUAUUGUUAAUCAAAUGGUCACAUUCUGUCGUCACUUUGCUCUGAACUAAACUCAAAGAUGUGUUGAAACUUGUAUAUUGAAAUAGUGUAGGAGCUUUAUGAUGUAAGAGGACUUUAAUCUGAUUAUUGGUUUCGCUUACGUUUUUAAUCUUUCUUUCUAGCUUCAGAAAUAGUUCCUCGCUCAUCUUUUUAAUAAGUUCUUCCACUCUAUCCCUAAUAAUUUUCUGAAGUACCUUUAAGAAUUCUUUGCUACCAUUGUUUAUUUCUGGUACAUUUUCUGGUACAUCCCCACGUUCUCCGGAUGUUUAUAGAACAACAGAAAACAGACAAGAAGUACAAGAUAUUCACUCAAUUUCAUCCUUUAAAAUGUUCUACAAUAAGUUUAUUAUCAUACAUAAAAAUUAACGUACACGAUUCAAAGAUUUGGUUUGGAAGUUUGUCUUUACCUUUAUAACUUCACGUGCCGUAUACGGUGCAGGAAAUACCUACCCUUGUGGAGCACCUGAUUUCAGUCACGGUUUUUAGUGGAGUUCGUGUUGUUUCUUAUUUAAUUAUUUGUAACUGUUGAUGUAAAUGUCUUUUGGUUUGAUGAGUCUUUGUUUACUCAUUGAUUUUGAUUGUUAUUGUCUUCAUAAUGAAGCCUUUAAACUAGCUAAACAUUUAGAUAUUGAAGCAACAUACUCUUGGUAUACUUUUGCAAAAAAUAUGUAACAAGAAAUAAAUAUUGAAAUCAAACUUAUUGAAGAAACUAAAACUUGAAAACAGAAUGAAGCGUAAAAACCCUAAUUAAAAAAAGUUUAUAUCAACUAUUAUAAAACUCUUAUUCUACUUGUAAAAAAAUGGAUGGAUUCAUUAGAUCGGCACGAAGCACAAUUAAAAGAACCAACGUAGACGACAGACGCAAAGUACCUAUCUUAGAGUACGUGUAGCUACUCAAAAUGUGUUAAUUUAUUUUCCUUUCUUGGGCAGUGAUGUUCCUUUUGUAUCGAUGCGGUGUUUAUGUAUUCCAACUUGUUCGCUAUGCCCGUGUCUGUAUUGGCGCUUGGGAUUUCAAAUGUUUCAUUAUGUAUUACUGAUGAAGUACUAAGUCAGAGAUUUAGUUACUACAUAUUACAUAAAACCUUUCACUCUGUCGGAGAAAUAAAGAUUUUUUUUUGUUAAUUUGGCUGUAUCUCGAUUAUUUGAUUAUAUAUUUCUUCAUUAUUCAUAUAACACUUUUUGAUUAUAUAAAAUUGAGAAUGGAAAUGGGGAAUGUGCCAAAGAGACAACAACUCGACCAUAGAAAAAAACAACAGCAGAAGGUCACCAACAGGUCUUCAAUGUAGCGAGAAACUCCCGCACCCGGAGGCGUCCUUCAGCUGGCCCCUAAACAAAUAUAUACUAGUUCAGUGAUAAUGAACGCCAUACUAAUUUCCAAAUUGUACACAAGAAACUCAAAUUAAAAUAAUACAAGACUAACAAAGGCCAGAGGCUCCUGACUUGGGACAGGCGCAAAAAAUGCGGCGGGGUUAAACAUGUUUGUAUAGACUAUUUAAAACUAAUUCCAAUAAACUAAUAUGCAAACAACUUUAUUUUUAGAAUGGAAAUGUGUAUAUAGUGAGUAUGUACAUUCUCGACAUAGUCAUGGCGUACAAAUAUUGUUCAAGUCACACACAUAGUAUAGACAUCUUGCCAGAUUAAAAGUCAUAUAGGGUACCCAUACCUAAGCUUUUAUAAAAUGUAUCCAGAAAAAGUGGUGUAUAAAUCUCCGCGAAUUAUUCCUGUACUGUAAUCGGGAAGUUUACGGCAAUGUACUUCGUCGCCUUCCAUUAAAUCUGUUGUAACAAAUAUGGAACCAGUAUUCUCAUGUUUUCCUUCCGCUGCGUAGCCUCUUCCUAUUUUAUUGUAGUUCCUCAUGAGUUCUAUAUUUACAUAACCAUUGACUACAAGAAAUGAGCAAUGAAUAGUAUACAAUCCAUCAAUAGGAGCAGUAAACAAUCCUUCUGUGACGGAGUAUCCAUUUCCAGAGUUUGUUAUAAUGUUGUCGAAUUUAAUUAUCUCACCGCUCUGAGGAACAUUGUCGGAAAGUGUUGCAUAGAAAGCUAUCGUUUGUUCCACCUCUAAUUCGAGGUUGGAAAUAUUUUGGACAAUUGUGUUUACUCUAGAACUAAGGAUCUCACUUGUACUAACAGAAAUUGCAUCCACAUCACUCAAUAUAUCCUUGUAUCUUCGUAACACUCCCGUCUGUAUAUCAGUCGUAGUUUUGGAAACGUACGAACGCAUUUUACUUACAAAUUGAAUGAUCUCGUGUUCGGUCUCAUUUAUCAAUUUAGUUUUUCUGUUGAAGAUAUAAUUGUCACUUUUUCUCGCAACUUUGCUCUGAACAUCACUAAAAACUGCGUAGAAACUUGUAUAUUGAAACAUUAUUGGAGCUUGUUGAUGCAAGAUAUUUUUAAUCUGGUUGUUGGUUUCGCUUACGGUUUUAAUCUUUCUUUCUAGCUUCAGAAAUAGUUCCUCGCUCCUCUUUUCAAUAAGUUCUUCCACUCUCUCCCUAAUAAUUUUCUGAAGGACCUCUAAAAAUUCUUUGCUACUAUUGUUUAUUUCUGGUACAUUUCCAGGUACAUCCCCACGUCCUCCUCGUGUUUUAUAAAACAACAGAAAACAAAAAAGUACAAGAUAUUCACUCAAUUUCAUCCUUUAAUAUGUUCUAGCAUCAGAUGAUAUUCUAACACAUGAAAUGGACGUAGAUUAUUAUAUCAUUUCCUAUUUUAAGUACACACUUCUG
RNAcentral lists this long non-coding RNA (3171 nucleotides) under Mytilus galloprovincialis (Mediterranean mussel). Lineage: Eukaryota; Metazoa; Mollusca; Bivalvia; Mytilida; Mytilidae. The record is from RNAcentral.